This is a non-coding RNA of Podarcis muralis (Common wall lizard), 516 nucleotides long. NCBI's taxonomy places the organism in Eukaryota, Metazoa, Chordata, Lepidosauria, Squamata, Lacertidae. The record is from RefSeq and is a predicted model, not a curated record.
UGCAUGAAAAGAGAAUCGGAUAGGGAUGGCAAUUGUGCUUAAUCUUGAAUUGUUUUGCAGGUAGAUGAAAGAAGAUAUUGGGAGACAUUUAAUGAAUAGGAAAAUUAAUCAAAGUAUGAAUAAAUAAAGACAUUGAAAAAUGAUUAUAUGUAAUCACAUGUUAUUAUGCAGAGCCACCUGCUGAAACAAAGACAGGAGACAGGGCCUUUUUUGUAAAGGCGAAAGAUUUAUACGAUCUGAGGAUAAGCCAAAGUUUUUAUCGGUGGUUGCAAGAACAAACGAGCCCUAUAUUCCAAACAAAGUGCUUGAUUAACCUGGAGGGCCGGCUUGAAUGGAAUAAGCCUCAGAGAUGUACACAAAAGCAAGAAUGAGUGGAGGAUCAAUAGAAGCAAAUCAGGAAGGCAGAAAAGCUGAGAUUUUUAAAGAAGAUGGAACAUGCAGACAGCCCCAGUGGACCAGGCCAACAACCCAUCUAGUCCUGUUCUCACAGCAGCCAAUGGCAGAACCUGCCUCACA